This 406-nucleotide ribosomal RNA is filed under the name uncultured bacterium. Its description in RNAcentral is "partial 16S ribosomal RNA". It matches the Rfam family "Bacterial small subunit ribosomal RNA", at positions 29 to 526 of the family's 1533-position model. The record is from RNAcentral.
AUUGAACGCUGGCGGCAGGCCUAACACAUGCAAGUCGAACGAGUGGCGGACGGGUGAGUAAUGUCUGGGAAACUGUCCGAUGGAGGGGGAUAACUACUGGCAACGGUAGCUAAUACCGCAUCCCAUCGGAUGUGCCCAGAUGGGAUUAGCUAGUAGGUGGGGUAAUGGCUCACCUAGGCGACGAUCCCUAGCUGGUCUGAGAGGAUGACCAGACACACUGGAACGGAGACACGGUCCAGAGUCCUACGGGAGGCAGGAGUGGGGAAGAUUGAACAAUGGGGGCAAGCCUGAUGGAGCCAAGCCGCGUGUAUGAAGAAGGCCUUCGGGUUGUAAAGUACUGUCAGCGAGGAGGCGUUACUCGCAGAAGAAGCACCGGCUAACUCCGUGCCAGCAGACGCGGUAAUAC